RNAcentral lists this long non-coding RNA (1042 nucleotides) under Callithrix jacchus (white-tufted-ear marmoset). Its description in RNAcentral is "lncRNA (ENSCJAG00000076077.1)". The record is from RNAcentral. Lineage: Eukaryota; Metazoa; Chordata; Mammalia; Primates; Cebidae.
AAGUAGACAAGGUCAUUCAACUCCUAAAAGCUUAUUUUCCAAAAGCACAGUUAGGUCCCAGCUUCCAGGAUGCUUCUGGCUUUAUCAAAAUGACACUGCUUUGCUUUGUGAAAGUGUGAGGGUAAUCUGUGUAUGACUUAAGGAGUCAAUUUCCUAUAGGAACCUUCUCUGAGAUAGGAAAAUAUUUUUAAAUUAAUCAACGGUGGUAAAAUAUAUUUAAACAUAAAUCACAAAUUCGAACUCCUCCAAAUAUUUAUUUACUAAUAUGGAAGACAUGGAAACUACUGAAAUCUCAUUUAAAGGAAGUUAUUUUGUUGUGCAUUUGCUUUCGGGCGCGGGGCGGGGAAGUGGGGGGGUGGGCGGCGCGGGGGUAUGACUGCCGACCUGCCCUUGAAGGAAACUUGCUUUGGCUCAGGUUAGCAGGCAAGUCCGUUUCUCCAAGGCGAUUCCAACCCCACGCCUCUCAACCCUUAAAUCUUAAAUUGAAUUAUUGGGUUCAGGUGGUUCUCCCACAGAACCUCCCAGCUUCCGGAACAGGGGGGCGGGGCAGGGAGACCCUGCUUUUUAUUUCAGAUCUGACGUGUGCAAUCCUAGUGCACUAGCCAAAAGGAAAAAAAAAAAAAAAAAAAAAAAAAAAAAAGCUGAAUUCUCCGCGCUCUCCCGGCAAAUUUCUCUCCGACAUGAAACCCAAGGAGAAGGCGUGUUCAAUGGCUACAGGGCGCUCUCUGAAGCCGGCUCCUCGCGCGAAUUCCGGCCCAGGCCGCCGCUCAGGUCCCAGCCGGGCUGCACAGCGAGCUGGAGAGGAUGGCAACGCCUGCUUCCAGGGAGACGGGAGGAGCGCCAACUCCUAAGGUGGGUCACCUGCCAGGAAGGGAACACCCGUGGUGCAGACGCACGUGGGAGGAGCACAGGUCCCGCGUACAAGUGCAGUGCUGGCGACUUAGGGAAGAAGAGUAAUUGAAGGCCUGAGACGCCCAUGUGCCACUGAUUGGAAGGCUUCCCUGCUGCGGCGCUUCAUGAUCCAGCAGCGCGUGGACCAGUG